RNAcentral lists this ribosomal RNA (496 nucleotides) under uncultured bacterium. RNAcentral describes it as "bacterial SSU rRNA". It matches the Rfam family "Bacterial small subunit ribosomal RNA", at positions 28 to 526 of the family's 1533-position model. The record is from RNAcentral.
GACGAACGCUGGCGGCGUGCUUAACACAUGCAAGUCGAGCGGUAAGGCCCUUCGGGGUACACGAGCGGCGAACGGGUGAGUAACACGUGGGUGACCUGCCCCCAACUCUGGGAUAAGCCCGGGAAACUGGGUCUAAUACCGGAUACGACCACAUAUCGCAUGAUGAGUGGUGGAAAGUACGUUCUUAAUUGAGCGCCUCGGUUGGGGAUGGGCCCGCGGCCUAUCAGCUUGUUGGUGGGGUGAUGGCCUACCAAGGCGACGACGGGUAGCCGGCCUGAGAGGGCGACCGGCCACACUGGGACUGAGACACGGCCCAGACUCCUACGGGAGGCAGCAGUGGGGAAUAUUGCGCAAUGGGCGAAAGCCUGACGCAGCGACGCCGCGUGGGGGAUGACGGCCUUCGGGUUGUAAACCUCUUUCGACCUCGACGAAGCGAAAGUGACGGUAGGGGUAGAAGAAGCACCGGCCAACUACGUGCCAGCCGCCGCCGUAACAC